This is a non-coding RNA of Chlorocebus sabaeus (green monkey), 5713 nucleotides long. The record is from RefSeq and is a predicted model, not a curated record. NCBI's taxonomy places the organism in Eukaryota, Metazoa, Chordata, Mammalia, Primates, Cercopithecidae.
CAGAAAACAGAGACCAAGGCAUGUUUCAGAGCAGGAGUGGACGUUUAUUUUAAAAGGCUUUAAAACAGGGAAAAAAAGCAAAGUACACUUGGAAGGGACCCAAGCAGGCGACUUGAAGAACAAGUGCCCCAACUCCUUAGACUUGAAAUUCAUCUCAGCAUUCACACUGAGUUGACAGCUCCCCAAGGCUGCUCUUCACGUGACUAAAUGUGGCAGGGAUUCUAAGGAAGACCUGCUCGUGGGAAACAAAGGACUCUCUUGUUGAUGGACUUUGGCUCACAGACACCCUGCAGCUUUGUAGAACCUUCCUUAGACUAAUCCAGGACAUUUCCACCUAAAUUCUUCUCUCCACUAAGUCAGACAUGCCACAAACCAGUUCUGACAAUUCUCCACCUUCCCUGCUUUCUUCUCUUUUUCCUAUCACAGAGGAAAUUCCCUACUUCACCUCUCCCUGGGCUCAGAGAGUACGCAGGGAAAAGACUGUCAAUGAAUUUAUCCUUGCAGAGGUGCCAGGCAACAUCCACCAGAUCUAUCUAUGUCUACAAGCAGCUUAAAAGCAGAGGCUGUUUCUCACGCAGCAGCCCUAGCUCUCAACCCUCAACACCUGCCUACUCUAGGCCAAGUCCCAGCUGCUGCUGCAGCAGCGCUGACAGCAAAUACAACUUUCCGUUGCUUCCUGUUGAGCAACUGGAAAAAGACGGAAGCAAGAAGAGGACCCUGGCAUCAGACGUCAGCACUCUGGAAAUGGGUUUUUACUGGGGACAGAAAGAAAGAAAUUGCUGAAAUGGAAGGAAUUAUCAUUUCUAGAGUCAUCUCUGGAUAACAAAUUGUGGAGGCCUAAAUAUCCACAGAUUAUUCUAUCUGAGUUUAUCUUGUUGCGACAGAUCUGCAUGCUGUAAUCAAUCAUGCUGCGUAUCCAUAAAACAGCUUCAUAGUACACAUGUAUUCUCCUCAAAAUAAAGUUGUAACAUUUACACAUAAUAACUUAUUGGGCUGCAGGCUUUGCCUGACGUAUGCUCAAUAUCAUCUGAUGUUUUAUUGGAUCCCACACAAACUUUUGCCUAACACAGUCGUUUCUACAGAGAAAAGUUAAUUGAAAGUCUUGAUUAUAAUAAAGAAAAAAAUUUUUAAAAGACAGGGAAUUGUGACAACUACUCUGGGGGCUGCAGAGAGGCCAAGGUGGGUGGAACAUUGAGAGAAAAGGACAAGGGUGGGUUUGAAGACCCCCACUUGCUGGCUGUUGGCUCUGGAACAGGACAGUUCAGCUGUCCAGAUCUCAGCUGCCUCACCUGUGAAAUAUUUGGCAUUACCAAAUGCUAAGGUGUAAAUCACACAGAGAAAGUGAGAUGGGUGGAAGAGGAUGGAGAGAUCACGGGAAGGGAUUCCUGAGCAGGAAAUAGGCAUAAUUAGCCAGUGUGACACAGCACACAGAAGACCACUUUGUCUGAUUCAGUGUGGGUUUGGGUAGUGGUAAAAGAGUUUGAAGAGGAGUUUAGAGCUAUUUCUGAGGACUGUCAUUAUUGGUCACAGCUGUACUCUGUUCAUUUCUCUCGCCACACUCACUAAAAUCUGUAUAAAAGUUAUUUAUUUGUUGACUUAUUCAUUAUCUGUAUCUCCCCAUCUCAGACUCUCAGAUCCAUGAGGCAGAGACAUGGCUAUCUUGUGCACUGUAGUGUCUGCAGUCCUUAGCAUGUACUAGGUACUCACCAAAUAAUUGACAAAGGAAUGAAACAUAAAUGAGUGAAUGACCAAAUCAGGCCACGAAUGCACCAGCUCCAAUUCUUACAGAGAGCUGCCACAGAGGUGCUACACUGACAGCCCCUCUGGCUAACGUCCUGUGCUCUCCCUCUCCCCAACCUCCAUCUAAACUCCCAUCCAGUACCAUGCUCCCAGCAAUAUAACCAACCUAAAAGCAAGGACCAGUGGGCAUGCUGCCCUUUGUGGACAACAAAGGGUCCCUCUGCUCUCUACCCCAAUCUGAGGACACAUGAGAUGUGGAAGCUGAUUUGGGGACACACUUUAAGAAACCACAGAAACUAGCAAGUGCCAUAUAAACAAGUAACUCUCUUUAUGUUGUAGAAGUUCCAGUGGAUUGGGUGACAUGCAGGACCAUGCAUCAGGAUCAUUCUCAGAACAUGAAUAUCACCUAGGGAGCUUUGUCACCUUUCCACCCUGGUUCUGCUCUUGGAAGUCCUGGUUGAGUAGGCUUGCGCUGGGGCCUGGACACCUAUCAUUCCUAAAGUUUCUAAAGUUUCGCAGACAAUUUUGAUGUGCUCUGAAGAUUGACAACAGCAGGACCGGACAAUGGCUUAGGUCACUUCUUUCCUGCUUCCAUUGUAAGUGUAGUUUUAUCCAAGACUGAUUGAGUUUUCUUUGAGGGAGAGAAAAAGGAGGAAUGAAUAUUCAUUGGUUUCUUUGAGGGAGGAAAAAGAGGAGGAGUGAAUAUUCAUAUGGUUUUCUUAAAAUUCAAUCCAGUCUAAGAUAAAACAAGUGACUCAAUUAGAGAAAGUUUAAUAUCUGGCCUUCCAGUUUAAUAAAAAUUAAGCUAGGGUUUCAUUGUCCAGUGAGUACGCCAUGCUCAUUUCCUGCUCCUAUCUUUGGUUUGUAGAAUUCUUCAACGACCACCAUUGUCCUUUCCUUCCUCCACAACCUACCCAAAUCACACCCACUUAUUUGGGGGAAUGAUGAGAUAUGGCUAAUCAUGUAAAAAUCGCUGACAAUUGGGCAAAGAACUUACCUCAACCUUGUCUUGCUGAGAGCUUUGAAAUUUGCAUUGGGAUAGCCCACUCCUAUUCACUCAUUAAACGGACAUGUUGACUCAGCUCUAUCAGGAGUUCUAUCAUGUUUGACAUAGCUCUAUCAGGAGCUGUGCUAGGUGCUGGGUUCAGAGCAGUGAAAGAAACUGAUAUGGGAACAUGAUUCUUGCUUCAUGCUUCAGCAUCAUUGCUUAAGAGCAAUCUGCUGUUUGCAGCUUGGUGCUUUGGGAAAUCUGUAGUGUUGACAGCUUCCGAGGGUUUAAGAAGACAUAACUCUCAUGAAGAAUCACAGAUGUUAUCCUGAGGAUUAUCCGUUCAAUCAUCAAAGGUUUUAUUCUUAUACUCUGUGACAAAGAAAAGGCUAAGAUUUCAUGUGACUCCCUUUAGGUGGGGCUACUCCGCCCCAGCAAAAUCCACAAAUAAGCAAGUUGAGUUUAACUAUAAACUUGGGGACUUUUGCCUUGGAAAUGGAUCUGGUACCUUGGCUCUUCUGUCCAGGCCAGCUAGACCUUGCUGAAGUUGGGCUGCUGUUCUUAACAAGCCCAUGUGUUUGGUUGCCAUGGCUGUGAGGUGGGGAAGGAGACCCAGGAGCAUGCUGGAUGCAGGAAGAAGCAGCAAAUCAGGCUGGUGAAUCCAUGCUGCUGAGAUAAUCAGGGAUAUUAGGGGCAGAACUCUUCCUUUCUUCUCAGGCCAGUCCUUAUUCCUUACACAAAGCAGCUGGAAAUGGUUGCAUUGUCCUGAGCCAGGCUGGAUGACUGAGUUGCAAGCACAGACUCAGGGAUGAGGACAUUUCCCAUGACAGCUUGCACUUAUUCUCAACCACGAGGGCCCUGGGUUUGCUCCCACCCUUCUCAGCUCAGGCCAUCCUGUCUCUCUAGAAUGGUUUGAAGCAGCUCCAGGAUGGCCCCUGGACCUGGAAAAUGUCCCAGAUCGGAAGGGAUUAAUCACUAUGUGACAUUCAGCAUCUUCACUCCCCAAUUCCUGGUGCCAGCAAGUCUCUGCUCUCCCUGCCAGGACCUCUGCUAUACUCAAGGUACACAAAACCCCCAAUCUACCACACUGCACACACCCUUUCCUUUUAGUUAACCAAAGUCAGACUAGCACUUUCAAAAAGAGCUCUUAUUAGGAAACCCUGGGAGCACAAAGAAGAGAAAUAGAUGAGUGCAAUAAUGCUUCACAUUUGUAUAGCACUUUGCAGUUUGCAAAGCACUUGCACAUUCAUUACCUCAUUUACCCAGCAUGGAUUCCUUCCCAUAACUUAAGUAAAGCCUAGCUAGAGACUGGCAUGGGCUCUUCUAAGAGUUUCCCCCAUCCCUGCCUGACUACCAUUUCCCCAAUCCAACCUUGACAUCUGGCAACACCAAUAGCCUGAGUAGAGAGUCCUGGUGAAACCUAAAGGUCUGAUUCCUGGUCCCAGGUCUGACUCAGAUUUUCUCCUGGCCUACCCAGCCCACCCCUCUCCCAGACAUUGUGUUCUGGAAGCAUUUUCACUAACUAGUUGCUAAUGGUGAUUCUAACCACAGAGGGAAGCACUUUCACUUACUUGUUUCCAGAAUGGCACUGGGAUGGGUCACUAUCAACUUAUUUGUGCAGAAUAAUAGCUAACAUUCAUUGAGCACUCUUGGAGUGCCAGGCACUGCUUUUUAUGUGUACUAGCUCAUUUCCCUCUCACAAGGACUAUCAGGUGGACUGUAUGAUCUCCACUGUACAAGUGAGAGAAGCAGCUUGGUAAAUGCAAGUCGUAUUUUACAUUGUAGAGGUAAUCAAUGGAUUGGGUGGGCUGCGGGACAAUGAAACUAACCCCAUUUCCUUCACUGAGUCAUCACUUUAUGAAUGCAUGAGUUCAAGAUACAUUUACCAACCUCCUCCCAUGUGGCUAACCUCAUGGAUGCUGCAGUGAAUCAGGCAUGGCUCUGCCCUGAGGAUCCCAUGGCCUGGCUGGUCAUACCAGCCUCUUCUGCUAUUAAUGUGUAAUAUAAUAAGUGUUAUCGCAGAGGCUCAAACCCAGUCUAGGGCCUGGGAAACUGCCCAGAGGAUAUGACUUGGGAUGAGGAGGGGCAGAGGGGGCACCAAGUGGAGGUAAGAGAGCAUAUCUGGAAAAUGCAAAAAUCUUAGUACUACUGGUCAAGUAGGGUGUGACGAGUCAUAUACUAAGUUAUGAGAUUUGGGCUUUAUCCUGAAAUCACUAAGACACCAUUGAUGGGUUUUAAGCAGAGAAGUGACAUGAAAGCGACUUCCCCCCAAGUUAUUUUUUUAAUUAAGUCUUUGUUUUCUUGUGGUUGCCUCUUUCCAGUAAAAGUGAGUUCAGAUGGGGGAACUCGUUAAAUAAGACUCUCUGGCAACUGGUUGCUAAUUAGCUAAAGUUUUACUGCCCUCUAUUUGACCAGAGGUGAGAUGAUUCUUCCUCUCCCUCCCGUGCUCACUCUCUCCCCAACCAUGGUGGGCUUAGUGAUGUUGAGGCCCAUUUGGUUCAACAGGCUCACAGGGAAAGUCUGGGUGUGAGGCUCUGAAUAUUUGUAGCUUCUGUUUCUACUUGAUGUCUCUUUACAUUUUGGUGUCCAUCUACAAGAGUCACCUGCUGUCCACAUGAUGCUGUCAGAAUUCACACAUUGCCAGCAAUAACCAAUACCCCAUUUGUCAGGCAUUGAAGACUUUGUAUCACACUGACCUGCUGACUGGCUGUACUGAUGUCCCCCCACCCACCACCCCAGUGGGGAACUACUAGGCCUAGGAUCAGGGCCAAGCUUGGAAAAGCCCAGACACUGGCACCCCCUUGCCUUCAGGGAGCAUUCUUUAUUCAGUUCAGGAUGCAAUUUCAGCAGGCAUCAACAUAGAGAAAAGAGGGAGGAAGACGCCAUGGCUUGCUGGCCAGUCCCACCAUGUCAAUUCUGAUGAUUGGCAGGGCUGCAGGUGGCACAGCCAGCGCCUUCUCACAGCUGGGAAUGUUGUCUUACAAA